GACGAACGCUGGCGGUGUGCUUAACACAUGCAAGUCGAACGGAAAGGCCCUGCUUUUGUGGGCUGCUCGAGUGGCGAACGGGUGAGUAACACGUGAGUAACCUGCCCUUGACUUUGGGAUAACUUCAGGAAACUGGGGCUAAUACCGGAUAGGAUCUCCUGCUGCAUGGUGGGGGUUGGAAAGUUUCGGCUGUUGGGGAUGGACUCGCGGCUUAUCAGCUUGUUGGUGGGGUAGUGGCUUACCAAGGCUUUGACGGGUAGCCGGCCUGAGAGGGUGACCGGCCACAUUGGGACUGAGAUACGGCCCAGACGCCUACGGGAGGCAGCAGUGGGGAAUAUUGCACAAUGGGCGGAAGCCGGAUGCAGCAACGCCGCGUGCGGGAUGACGGCCUUCGGGUUGUAAACCGCUUUCGCCUGUGACGAAGCGUGAGUGACGGUAAUGGGUAAAGAAGCACCGGCUAACUACGUG
This 468-nucleotide ribosomal RNA is filed under the name uncultured bacterium. RNAcentral's name for it is "partial 16S ribosomal RNA". It matches the Rfam family "Bacterial small subunit ribosomal RNA", at positions 28 to 507 of the family's 1533-position model. The record is from RNAcentral.